RNAcentral lists this ribosomal RNA (529 nucleotides) under uncultured bacterium. RNAcentral's name for it is "partial 16S ribosomal RNA". It matches the Rfam family "Bacterial small subunit ribosomal RNA", at positions 355 to 874 of the family's 1533-position model. The record is from RNAcentral.
UGGGGAAUAUUGCACAAUGGGCGCAAGCCUGAUGCAGCCAUGCCGCGUGUGUGAAGAAGGCCUUCGGGUUGUAAAGCACUUUCAGCGAGGAGGAAGGUGGUGGACUUAAUACGUUCAUCAAUUGACGUUACUCGCAGAAGAAGCACCGGCUAACUCCGUGCCAGCAGCCGCGGUAAUACGGAGGGUGCAAGCGUUAAUCGGAAUUACUGGGCGUAAAGCGCACGCAGGCGGUUUGUUAAGUCAGAUGUGAAAUCCCCGGGCUCAACCUGGGAACUGCAUUUGAAACUGGCAAGCUAGAGUCUCGUAGAGGGGGGUAGAAUUCCAGGUGUAGCGGUGAAAUGCGUAGAGAUCUGGAGGAAUACCGGUGGCGAAGGCGGCCCCCCUGGACGAAGACUGACGCUCAGGUGCGAAAGCGUGGGGCAGCAAACAGGAUUAGAUACCCUGGUAGUCCACGCUGUAAACGAUGUCGAUUUGGAGGUUGUGCCCUUGAGGCGUGGCUUCCGGAGCUAACGCGUUAAAUCGACCGCCU